This 112-nucleotide non-coding RNA is filed under the name Geosporobacter ferrireducens. Its description in RNAcentral is "TPP sequence". It matches the Rfam family "TPP riboswitch aptamer (THI element)". From Rfam's summary of the family: Vitamin B(1) in its active form thiamin pyrophosphate (TPP) is an essential coenzyme that is synthesised by coupling of pyrimidine and thiazole moieties in bacteria. The previously detected thiamin-regulatory element, thi box was extended, resulting in a new, highly conserved RNA secondary structure, the THI element, which is widely distributed in eubacteria and also occurs in some archaea. The record is from Rfam by way of RNAcentral. Lineage: Bacteria; Bacillati; Bacillota; Clostridia; Peptostreptococcales; Thermotaleaceae.
UAAAUAAACUGGGGGUGCCGGAAAGGCCGGCUGAGAUAAAGGACCUAUUAAUUCUUUGACCCUUUAACCUGAUCUGGAUAAUACCAGCGUAGGGAAGUUGCAGCGUGUUAGU